This 462-nucleotide ribosomal RNA is filed under the name uncultured Allobrachymonas sp. Its description in RNAcentral is "bacterial SSU rRNA". It matches the Rfam family "Bacterial small subunit ribosomal RNA", at positions 917 to 1381 of the family's 1533-position model. Lineage: Bacteria; Pseudomonadati; Pseudomonadota; Betaproteobacteria; Burkholderiales; Comamonadaceae. The record is from RNAcentral.
GACGGGACCGCACAAGCGGUGGAUGAUGUGGUUUAAUUCGAUGCAACGCGAAAACCUUACCACCUUUGACAUGGCAGGAAUCCUGAAGAGAUUGGGAGUGCUCGGAAAGAGAACCUGCACACAGGUGCUGCAUGGCUGUCGUCAGCUCGUGUCGUGAGAUGUUGGGUUAAGUCCCGCAACGAGCGCAACCCUUGCCAUUAGUUGCUACGAAAGGGCACUCUAAUGGGACUGCCGGUGACAAACCGGAGGAAGGUGGGGAUGACGUCAAGUCCUCAUGGCCCUUAUAGGUGGGGCUACACACGUCAUACAAUGGCCGGUACAGAGGGUAGCCAACCCGCGAGGGGGAGCCAAUCCCACAAAGCCGGUCGUAGUCCGGAUCGCAGUCUGCAACUCGACUGCGUGAAGUCGGAAUCGCUAGUAAUCGCGGAUCAGCAUGUCGCGGUGAAUACGUUCCCGGGUCUU